Molecule: long non-coding RNA, 307 nt
Filed under: Manihot esculenta (cassava)
Lineage: Eukaryota; Viridiplantae; Streptophyta; Magnoliopsida; Malpighiales; Euphorbiaceae
Description: long non-coding RNA (MESC_LNC010561)
Source: RNAcentral
AAAACACUUUACAUUACAUCAUAAUACAAUCGUCAUGUCCACAAUCUAACUAUUACAUAACAUCACUUCAUACUCUGGCUAACCUCCUGCGCUACCCUGUACCUGCACAUCUGGGGUUAGGGGAGAGGGGUGAGCUAUAAAGCCCAGUGAGCAGAAUAGAGAAAAACAUAUAUUAAAUAUUUCAUGCUUCCAUGAAAUGCAACACAUCACAAACAUAUCACAUAAGGAUGGUAUUGUCACCUAUAGUCCUCAACAUAGUCCAAUCGUGCCAGGGGCGUAGAAUGGGCCUCACUGGUCUUUCUCUUAC